UUCCUGGAGUUGUCAAAGGUCACUUAAAAAGAUAUUCAUCAGACUUGCAGAAAAAGCAAACCCCGGAGGAAGCUGAGGCAUGGCUGCUCGAGAGCCAGCCUGCCAUGUGCAAUGUUCCUCCGAUAGUUUAAAAAA
Myotis daubentonii (Daubenton's bat) is the source of this 135-nucleotide non-coding RNA. Lineage: Eukaryota; Metazoa; Chordata; Mammalia; Chiroptera; Vespertilionidae. The record is from RefSeq and is a predicted model, not a curated record.